RNAcentral lists this long non-coding RNA (248 nucleotides) under Mytilus galloprovincialis (Mediterranean mussel). Lineage: Eukaryota; Metazoa; Mollusca; Bivalvia; Mytilida; Mytilidae. The record is from RNAcentral.
AGGUUCAAUAUCAGCCCAAGAGCCGCAUGGCUCGAGGGCUGAUAUUGACCGAGGGCUGAUAAUACAUGCGAUAUGAAAAAUGACAUGUUAUGAUCUUUUUAUCAUAUGCUUCAACAGUAGAGAAAAAUAACAGAUUCAUAUAUUGAGAGAUCCUUUUACGUGGUUCCCGAAAAGAAGUUGAAAGAGUAAAAAGUUCACGGACGUCGGACCCAAAAUUUGAUACAUUCAAUAUGAAAUCUUUCUAUCAU